GUGCACGCUGGCGGUAGGCCUAACACAUGCAGGUCGAACGGCAGCACAGUAAGAGCUUGCUCUUACGGGUGGCGAGUGGCGGACGGGUGAGGAAUACAUCGGAAUCUACUUUUUCGUGGGGGAUAACGUAGGGAAACUUACGCUAAUACCGCAUACGACCUACGGGUGAAAGCAGGGGAUCUUCGGACCUUGCGCGAUUGAAUGAGCCGAUGUCGGAUUAGCUAGUUGGCGGGGUAAAGGCCCACCAAGGCGACGAUCCGUAGCUGGCCUGAGAGGAUGAUCAGCCACACUGGAACUGAGACACGGUCCAGACUCCUACGGGAGGCAGCAGUGGGGAAUAUUGGACAAUGGGCGCAAGCCUGAUCCAGCCAUACCGCGUGGGUGAAGAAGGCCUUCGGGUUGUAAAGCCCUUUUGUUGGGAAAGAAAAGCAGCAGGUUAAUACCCCGCUGUUCUGACGGUACCCAAAGAAUAAGCACCGGCUAACUUCGUG
Molecule: ribosomal RNA, 491 nt
Filed under: uncultured bacterium
Lineage: Bacteria
Description: partial 16S ribosomal RNA
Rfam family: Bacterial small subunit ribosomal RNA
Source: RNAcentral